This 579-nucleotide long non-coding RNA is filed under the name Elaeis guineensis (African oil palm). Its description in RNAcentral is "long non-coding RNA (EGUI_LNC022724)". Lineage: Eukaryota; Viridiplantae; Streptophyta; Magnoliopsida; Arecales; Arecaceae. The record is from RNAcentral.
UAUCAGUGAUCUCUCUACCUAUCAUCAUCCUAUUAUCCGAGGAAAGGAAAAGAAACAGUGCAGAUCUCUUUUCUUUACGGAAAUGGGUCUGUGCUCACGAGAGCUUCUGCUUCUUGCUUUGGUGAUCUCAAGCUUGCAUCCUCUCGUGGCGGUGAGGCCUUUGGACGGAGAGUGGUUGCCGGAGAACGUUGGGCUCUUGUUGGAGUCUCUUCCUAAGGGGUCGUCACAGUCUUCUAAGGCAUCAGGCUGCACCAGUAACACCAACAACCAUAGCGGAACUUGUCCCCAUUCUUAGCAAUGGAAUUGUGAUGGGCCUGGAGUUGAGUCUAUUUUCCCUUGAUCCUUCGGAAGCUCCCAUCUAAAGGAUGGAAGCCUUGAGCAUGCAUUUUAUGGCACCUCUCCUAUUUUCCCUUCUUCUUCUUCUUCUUCUUCUUUUUCUUUUUUUUCUUUUCCUUUUUCACAUGGCUUAUGCAUUUUUUUUUUCUAAUUGUAUUCUUUAUUUAUUUGCAUGGGAUAUAGCCGUGCAAUUGAAUUAAUAGAGAACAUGUACCAGUUUCUGCUCUUUUGUUGUUGAAGGGG